ACAGUUGAAAUAACUCCUUCGUGGAGGCUGGCUACAUUUUCACAACGUCUGGUCCCAAGCUAGAUCUUCGGGAAAAGGGAUCAAGGAAAUGACUAUUCCUCCAAAUAAAAUGCUGCACAUCUUUCAUGGAUUCUGGUCCACCUCGUCCUCACGCGGGGAUGCAGACUGACAAGCUUCCACCAUGAAGGGUUGUCAUUUGCCAUAGCAGGGAGAGGAAAAUGGAGCAAAUCAGUCACCAGCUCGUCAUACAGAAGAGUGUCCCACGUCAUAUCUGCUGAUAUGUUAUGGCCAAAGUACAUGACUAUCUCCAAGGAGCUGAGAGGUGAAAUUCGGACAUUUGUCUGGACGGAGUAGAACCAAGAGAGUCGUAAACAUCCUGUGGACUACACACCGUUUAACAAGAUGCAACAGUAUUCUGGAUUCCAGUGCUGCAACUAUAUUCAAUAAAUGGGCCUUGUUCAAAUCCUGAG
This 470-nucleotide long non-coding RNA is filed under the name Homo sapiens (human). RNAcentral's name for it is "non-protein coding LINC00670:10". The record is from RNAcentral. Lineage: Eukaryota; Metazoa; Chordata; Mammalia; Primates; Hominidae.